Molecule: ribosomal RNA, 284 nt
Filed under: Staphylococcus aureus
Lineage: Bacteria; Bacillati; Bacillota; Bacilli; Caryophanales; Staphylococcaceae
Description: partial 16S ribosomal RNA
Rfam family: Bacterial small subunit ribosomal RNA
Source: RNAcentral
CCAGCAGCCGCGGUAAUACGUAGGUGGCAAGCGUUAUCCGGGAUUAUUGGGCGUAAGCGCGCGUAGGCGGUUUUUUAAGUCUGAUGUGAAAGCCCACGGCCCUACCGUGGAGGGUCAUUGGAAACUGGAAAACUUGAGUGCACCAUAGGAAAGUGGAAUUCCAUGUGUAGCGGUGAAAUGCGCAGAGAUAUGGAGGAACACCAGUGGCGAAGGCGACUUUCUGGUCUGUAACUGACGCUGAUGUGCGAAAGCGUGGGGAUCAAACAGGAUUAGAUACCCUGGUA